Non-coding RNA from Zasmidium cellare ATCC 36951, 100 nucleotides. The record is from the annotation of a RefSeq genome assembly. Lineage: Eukaryota; Fungi; Ascomycota; Dothideomycetes; Mycosphaerellales; Mycosphaerellaceae.
GGCCUGCUAGUUCAAUGGUAGAAUGCUUGACUACGACUGUCUCUCUUCGAGAGUAUAUUGUUACAUCAAGAGGCUGUAGGUUCGAGCCCUACGUAGGUCA